This 18-nucleotide small nuclear RNA is filed under the name Arabidopsis thaliana (thale cress). RNAcentral's name for it is "snRNA_03492". The record is from RNAcentral. Lineage: Eukaryota; Viridiplantae; Streptophyta; Magnoliopsida; Brassicales; Brassicaceae.
GUAAUCAGCCUCCAAAUA